GCCUGUUUUUCAAAAACAUUGCCUUCUGAAUACAUAUAUAAGGUAAAUUCUGCCCAGUGAUUUUUUAACGGCCGCGGUAUCCUGACCGUGCAAAGGUAGCAUAAUCAUUUGCCUCUUAAUUAGAGGCUAGUAUGAAUGAAUAAACAAAUAAUUCCUUUCUUAUUACUACUAAUAAAAAUUAUCUUUUAGGUGAAGAGACCUAAAUUUCAUAAAAAGACAAGAAGACCCUAUCAAGCUUAUAUUUUUAUAAUUAAUAUCAAAUUUAAAAAAUUUUAUUGGGGCAAUAAAAAAUAAUAUAAAUCAUUUUCUUUAAUAAAGAUAAAUUAAUCUUCCUCCAUAACGCAUAACCCUCUUAAAGAAAGCUACUGUAGGGAUAACAGGCUAAUAAUUCUCAAGAGACCUUAUCUACAGAAUUGAUUGGCACCUCGAUGUUGGCUUAAGAAACCUUAUUUACGCAGAAGUAAAUAAAGGAGGUUUGUUCAACCUUUAAUAUCUUACAUGAUCUGA
RNAcentral lists this ribosomal RNA (507 nucleotides) under Odontosyllis freycinetensis. RNAcentral's name for it is "partial large subunit ribosomal RNA". It matches the Rfam family "Bacterial large subunit ribosomal RNA", at positions 1798 to 2608 of the family's 2925-position model. Lineage: Eukaryota; Metazoa; Annelida; Polychaeta; Phyllodocida; Syllidae. The record is from RNAcentral.